UACGUAGGAUCCAAGCGUUGUCCGGAUUUACUGGGUGUAAAGGGUGCGCAGGCGGUUUUGUGCGUCAGAGGUUAAAUACUUCGGCUUAACCGGAGAAAUGCCUUUGAUACGGCAAGACUUGAGUACAAGAGAGGAUGGUGGAAUUCCUGGUGUAGCAGUGAAAUGCGUAGAUAUCAGGAGGAACACCUGUGGUGAAGACGGCCAUCUGGCUUGUAACUGACGCUCAGGCACGAAAGCGUGGGGAG
RNAcentral lists this ribosomal RNA (245 nucleotides) under uncultured bacterium. RNAcentral's name for it is "partial 16S ribosomal RNA". It matches the Rfam family "Bacterial small subunit ribosomal RNA", at positions 524 to 768 of the family's 1533-position model. The record is from RNAcentral.